Molecule: ribosomal RNA, 242 nt
Filed under: uncultured bacterium
Lineage: Bacteria
Description: partial 16S ribosomal RNA
Rfam family: Bacterial small subunit ribosomal RNA
Source: RNAcentral
GACCGGCGCACGGGUGAGUAUCGCGUAUCCAACCUUCCCUCCACUCGGGGAUACCCCGUUGAAAGACGGCCUAAUACCCGAUGUUGUCCACAUAUGGCAUCUGACGUGGACCAAAGAUUCAUCGGUGGAGGAUGGGGAUGCGUCUGAUUAGCUUGUUGGUGCGGGUAACGGCCCACCAAGGCAACGAUCAGUAGGGGUUCUGAGAGGAAGGUCCCCCACAUUGGAACUGAGACACGGUCCAA